AUUGCAUAAAACUUAAAANUUUAUUACCAGAGGUUCAACUNCUCUUCUUAACA
RNAcentral lists this transfer RNA (53 nucleotides) under Tamiops mcclellandii barbei. Its description in RNAcentral is "partial tRNA-Leu". Lineage: Eukaryota; Metazoa; Chordata; Mammalia; Rodentia; Sciuridae. The record is from RNAcentral.